CUUUACUGGAAGUUUGGGCAAAUCCCUAAGUACGAUCCGGAAGUCCACCACCUGUUUUUGGCACACAACUUAGUGCACCAAUUUCACAUAAUCAGGCUCAUAAGCGACGCCGCACCUACGCACAAACUCAAACCCCGCCGCGGGUUACAUCUCUCCCCACACCCACCAAACUGCAGCGGGGCUGCUUAAUAAUUUCAUAACUUUAAAAUUAUAACAGCAGUGGUAACAAACAAAAACUCCAGAGGCAUCUACAUAAAAUUCCCCACAAGUUUUGUACACAAUUUAUAAUUAAAUUCCAACAUCUAAUUAGCCCAAAACAGUCCACAAGAUGAACCCUGUAAUCUGUUUUUUUGUCCUAUGGGCAGCGACAUACCCGGAUUCAAACAGCGAUAUCUUUUAAAAUAUAAUUCCAAAUCAAGUGCAUAAGUACUCAUUGGAAAGAUAAGACAAAGCCCUACAUUAUUAUCAUACUGGUUAACACUAAUUACCCACGAAAAAUACCCAGAAACUGCUAAUACUACUGCUGUUCACCCACCUGAAAAUCUAUUUUUUUUGGACAGCAACAUAACCGGAUUCAAACAACGAUAUCUCCUAAAUUAUAACUCCGAAUCGAGCGCAUAAGUACCCGUUGGAAAGGUAUGACAAAGCUCUACAUGAUUCACCCACUGAUCCCCACUAAUUUCCCACGAAAAAUUCGCAGAAAUCCCUAGAACUACUGCUGUUCACCCACCCACAAAAUUUUCAGGACAGCACCUCUACCGAUUCGGAUAGGUAAACAUAUAAUCAAUUGGAUUACAACACAAUUAAACAAGAUACAAUCUCAAAAUCACCUUGAAUCCUCCCCCUUUCCUCCCUUCUUCUUCCCUCCACCAAAAUCCAAUUGGAGACAUGCACCAACGCGACGUAGAUCCGAGCGGGAAAGGAAUGGCACCUUGGAGAGAAGGGCUUGAGGAGGGGCGGCUAGGGUUUGAUGGGGGAGGUGGGGUGGCGGCUGCAAAUGGGUGGAGGAGUGAGAGGGGCGUCCUCCAAACCUAGAGAGAGGGGGGCGG
RNAcentral lists this long non-coding RNA (1049 nucleotides) under Zea mays. RNAcentral's name for it is "long non-coding RNA (ZMAY_LNC005844)". Lineage: Eukaryota; Viridiplantae; Streptophyta; Magnoliopsida; Poales; Poaceae. The record is from RNAcentral.